RNAcentral lists this small RNA (446 nucleotides) under Pan troglodytes (chimpanzee). RNAcentral's name for it is "processed transcript". Lineage: Eukaryota; Metazoa; Chordata; Mammalia; Primates; Hominidae. The record is from RNAcentral.
UCGGGGGUGCGGCGAUCCUCUCUGUGACAGGGAACGGCUCGGGAAACGCUUGGCGCGUUCCCUCCUGCCACGGGAGGAGCAGCCGGAGCCGGAGGAGGCGUUCGCAGCCUCAGUUGCUGGCGAUCCGGAUCUAAAGUCCCCGCACGGAGGUUGCACAGACUGCCAGGAGGCGAUUUGCCUACUGGCUGGGAAGAAGCAUAUACUUUUGAAGGUGCAAGAUACUAUAUAAACCAUAAUGAAAGGAAAGUGACCUGCAAACAUCCAGUCACAGGACAACCAUCACAGGACAAUUGUAUUUUUGUAGUGAAUGAACAGACUGUUGCAACCAUGACAUCUGAAGAAAAGAAGGAACGGCCAAUAAGUAUGAUAAAUGAAGCUUCUAACUAUAACGUGACUUCAGAUUAUGCAGUGCAUCCAAUGAGCCCUGUAGGCAGAACUUCACGAGC